This 238-nucleotide ribosomal RNA is filed under the name uncultured bacterium. Its description in RNAcentral is "partial 16S ribosomal RNA". It matches the Rfam family "Bacterial small subunit ribosomal RNA", at positions 15 to 240 of the family's 1533-position model. The record is from RNAcentral.
GAUCAUGGCUCAGGAUGAACGCUAGCUACAGGCUUAACACAUGCAAGUCGAGGGGCAGCAUGGUCUUAGCUUGCUAAGGCCGAUGGCGACCGGCGCACGGGUGAGUAACGCGUAUCCAACCUGCCUUACACUCUUGGACAGCCUUCUGAAAGGGAGAUUAAUACAAGAUGUUAUCAUGAGUAAACAUUUUUCGCAUGAUUAAAGGUUUUACCCGGGUGUAAGAUGGGGAUGCGUUCCA